CUAGAACACAACUGCCAUUUUUAAAGUUUUGAGCAUACCCAGAAAUUUUUUUAUUUUCAUUGGGGGAAUAGGUCAUUCAUUUUUAUUUCGAUGGUUUGCUUUUGGAGAGGCUGAGAGUUCUUACUGCCCAUGAUUAUUGUCAGACUGAUCCCCAGGGCUUGGCUUAUCCUCAGUUCUUGACUGAAGAUCAUGGACCUUGCCUGUCUUCCCCACUGUCUGCAGCUCCCACGCUCUUUUUGUUUUUCUUGCUUGGUUGUGCCUUCUUCUGAUAAGUGGAUGAACACUGUGUCAACUUGUAGACCAGACUUCCAUAUCUUCUUUCACAAAUUCGUCAGUCUGAGUAUAUCCCACAUCUAAUGCAAGUCACAGAUGGGCAUCACUCUUUAAAAGGUGCUCUAGUUGUGGCAUUCUAGGAAGGAGAUUGUUAGACAUUCUUUUCCUGGACACAAUCAAUCUAAUUGCCAUCCAACAUGGACCUAGCAGCAAUGCAAACACAUAAAGCUUUCAGAUGAGUCUCCCCAAAGAGACAUGUCAAUGCACAGGAUACAAGGGUGCAGCAUUUAUCUUUUUCCAGCACCAAUAUAAGAGGAGAAAAAAACAAAGGCUGUGAGAGGGAGAAGCUGAAUUGCCUCUGGACUCUGUAGUCUGCCUCGGACGCCUCGUUUCCACCCCUUAUCUCCAGCAUAUCACACUCUGUGGAGCAAUUUCUUUCCUCCCUUACUUAGAUUAUUGUCUACAGGUAGACAGAGAAAAGAGGAUAGAGAUUGGUAAAUGCAUUGACACAUAAGUUUCAGGUGCAUCCACUCCAGAGUGAGGAAUAUAACUUUCCAGAGUCUCCCAUUUAGGUCUCAGGCACACCCAUCUUCCCCACCCUGGCCUCCUGCCACUUUAUUCCUCGCCCUUCUCCUAUGAAUGCCCACUUUUCUGAUCUACCUCACCUCACUCCCCUUUCUGUGCUAUAGAUUUUGACACUGCUUUCCCAGAGCCAUAAAGGAUUGGGAUUAAGGGUUUUCCGAAAACAGGACAGGAGUAGAAGGGCAAGUUCUAGUUUAGCACUUGUGUGUACCACCCUCUUGUGACAGGUUCUGGCUCCACAUAUCCUUGAAGGAAUACAUUCUUUCUUCAGUCUCUGCCAGAUAACCUGUAAUUUUCUUCUUCCUUUUUCUUGGGUUGCACUGCCCCCUACAGACAGACAAACAAACCAAUAUCUAUCAGUAGGGUGGGUGAACACAGUGCUGGGUGAUAGGCCACAGUUCCUUUUACUGAUUCUGGACUCUGUCAAACAUUUCUCACCUCUCACUCUCGGUUCCGCAACACCAACUCUCCCCCGAUCCUAUGCACCAUUUAGAGAACUAAAAUAAGCUGGUGGGUGGGGCGAGAGUGUAGGGGAAGAUGACUCUGUCCCAAUCUUGACCCUAAGACUUCCCAGGCAAUCCUCAUUCUCACACCACCCUGCACAUAACCAGAGCAGUUUCUUCUUUCUUCACUCAUCUACAAACGUGCCUCUCUGAGGUCAACAGCAGAGAGCUGAUGGCUGGAUCAAAAAGAUUUGACUUUCCCACAGAUCUUGGUCACCUGAGAUAUAUGUCACUAAUGAGCCAUGGUUGCCACCAGUAGUGAUGCAAGAGUGUGCCUGCCUCUCUCUCUUCCCCCCAGCACACCAGACCUGUUACUCAUUUUUUUUUCUUCACCAAUCCUGGAAUCCAAAAGAAAGUGCAUUACCAUUUUGUUGGAAUUUGUUUUUCUCUGAUUUCCAGAGACAAAACUUAUUCUGAUACUUUCUUAUCUUCUCCUGGAGCAACUGUUUCUUUGUAUUUAUACUUCUUUAUCUUCAUCCUAGAAUACUGGGCAACAGCACGUCUUUUUACUUCCCCUCCCCUCAGCAACUAAUAUCCAUCAUCUUGCUUAGACCCAUGAAAAAAGCAGAUUUCAUAAAACAAGGCAUGGAGAGAUAAAUAUGUUUAAUUACAUUUUUCUUGCCUCUGCUCACUUUUCUUGGAAAUAAUGACUUUUUAAAAAGAUUUUUUAUGCCU
RNAcentral lists this long non-coding RNA (2033 nucleotides) under Homo sapiens (human). Its description in RNAcentral is "HSALNT0284793". Lineage: Eukaryota; Metazoa; Chordata; Mammalia; Primates; Hominidae. The record is from RNAcentral.